AGCAGUGGGGAAUUUUGGACAAUGGGCGCAAGCCUGAUCCAGCAAUGCCGCGUGAGUGAAGAAGGCCUUCGGGUUGUAAAGCUCUUUUGUCAGGGAAGAAACGGUGAGGGCUAAUAUCUCUUGCUAAUGACGGUACCUGAAGAAUAAGCACCGGCUAACUACGUGCCAGCAGCCGCGGUAAUACGUAGGGUGCAAGCGUUAAUCGGAAUUACUGGGCGUAAAGCGUGCGCAGGCGGUUUUGUAAGUUUGUCGUGAAAGCCCCGGGCUCAACCUGGGAAUUGCGGUGAAGACUGCAAGGCUUGAAUCUGGCAGAGGGGGGUAGAAUUCCACGUGUAGCAGUGAAAUGCGUAGAGAUGUGGAGGAACACCGAUGGCGAAGGCAGCCCCCUGGGUCAAGAUUGACGCUCAUG
This 409-nucleotide ribosomal RNA is filed under the name uncultured bacterium. RNAcentral describes it as "bacterial SSU rRNA". It matches the Rfam family "Bacterial small subunit ribosomal RNA", at positions 350 to 751 of the family's 1533-position model. The record is from RNAcentral.